CAGUAGCCACGGUAAUACGGAGGGUGCAAGCGUUACUCGGAAUCACUGGGCGUAAAGGACGCGUAGGCGGAUUAUCAAGUCUCUUGUGAAAUCUAACGGCUCAACCGUUAAACUGCUUGGGAAACUGAUAAUCUAGAGUAAGGGAGAGGCAGAUAGAAUUCUUGGUGUAGGGGUAAAAUCCGUAGAUAUCAAGAAGAAUACCUAUUGCGAAGGCGAUCUGCUGGAACUUAACUGACGCUAAUGCGUGAAAGCGUGGGGAGCAAACAGGAUUAGAUACCCCCGUAGUCCCUGUCUCUUAUAC
RNAcentral lists this ribosomal RNA (301 nucleotides) under uncultured bacterium. Its description in RNAcentral is "partial 16S ribosomal RNA". It matches the Rfam family "Bacterial small subunit ribosomal RNA", at positions 509 to 807 of the family's 1533-position model. The record is from RNAcentral.